This 549-nucleotide ribosomal RNA is filed under the name uncultured bacterium. Its description in RNAcentral is "bacterial SSU rRNA". It matches the Rfam family "Bacterial small subunit ribosomal RNA", at positions 355 to 896 of the family's 1533-position model. The record is from RNAcentral.
UGGGGAAUUUUGGACAAUGGGCGCAAGCCUGAUCCAGCCAUGCCGCGUGUCUGAAGAAGGCCUUCGGGUUGUAAAGGACUUUUGUCAGGGAAGAAAAGGCUGUUGCUAAUAUCAGCGGCUGAUGACGGUACCUGAAGAAUAAGCACCGGCUAACUACGUGCCAGCAGCCGCGGUAAUACGUAGGGUGCAAGCGUUAAUCGGAAUUACUGGGCGUAAAGCGAGCGCAGACGGUUACUUAAGCAGGAUGUGAAAUCCCCGGGCUCAACCUGGGAACUGCGUUCUGAACUGGGUGACUAGAGUGUGUCAGAGGGAGGUAGAAUUCCACGUGUAGCAGUGAAAUGCGUAGAGAUGCGGAGGAAUACCGAUGGCGAAGGCAGCCUCCUGGGAUAACACUGACGUUCAUGCUCGAAAGCGUGGGUAGCAAACAGGAUUAGAUACCCUGGUAGUCCACGCCCUAAACGAUGUCAAUUAGCUGUUGGGCAACUUGAUUGUUCAGUAGCGUAGCUAACGCGUGAAAUUGACCGCCUGGGGAGUACGGUCGCAAGAUUA